This 333-nucleotide ribosomal RNA is filed under the name uncultured bacterium. RNAcentral describes it as "bacterial SSU rRNA". It matches the Rfam family "Bacterial small subunit ribosomal RNA", at positions 568 to 898 of the family's 1533-position model. The record is from RNAcentral.
UAUGUAGGCGGUUUGUUAAGUUAGUUGUUAAAUACCAUGGCUCAACUGUGGAAAGGCAGCUGAUACUGACGAGCUAGAGCGCAGAAGAGAGGAGUGGAAUUCCCGGAGUAGCGGUAAAAUGCGUAGAUCUCGGGAGGAACACCGGUUGCGAAGGCGGCUCCUUGGUCUGUGGCUGACGCUAAAGUACGAAAGCGUGGGGAGCAAACAGGAUUAGAUACCCUGGUAGUCCACGCUGUAAACGAUGAUCACUGGAUGUAGGUCGGGCAUAGCCUGAUCUGUGUCGAAGCUAACGCGUUAAGUGAUCCGCCUGGGAAGUACGGUCGCAAGAUUAAA